This 1294-nucleotide long non-coding RNA is filed under the name Marmota monax (woodchuck). Lineage: Eukaryota; Metazoa; Chordata; Mammalia; Rodentia; Sciuridae. The record is from RNAcentral.
AGAGAGCCACAGAGUGGGACCUCAGUCCAGAGGAGCUACAGGGCAGGACCCACACACACAGCCAUGAACUGAUAUGUUACAGGACCCCCACAGAGAGUCAAAGGGCAAAGGCCACCCCACAAAGCCAUUGGGACUAUGGGUGUAGAAGACAGGGUAUUGAGAAAAAAAAAAAAAAAAAGACUAUUCUUGAGCCUUAGUAUCCAGUGGAGUUUGCCUUAUUACAUUUUGGAUUUGCUCGGAAUGCAUCACCCCUUUCUUCCUACAGCUUCUUCUGUGGGGAUGGGAAUAUCUAUGUUUUGCCUAUCCCACCAUUGUAAUCUGGAAGUGCCUAACUUGUCAGUUUCACAGACUCACAGGUGGAAAGGAAUUUUGCUUCAGGAUGAAUCGUACCUUGAGUCUCACCCAUUUCUGAUUUAGAUAUUUAAUUGAGACUUUGAACUUUACAUUUUAUGAUUGAUACUGAAACAAGUUAAGAUUUUGGGACUGUUGGGAUAGAAUGGAUGUGUUUUGCAGGACAUGAAUUCUGGUGUGGAGGCUGAGGCAGAAUACUAUGUUUCUCUUCUCCCUCUCCCUCUCCCUCUCUCUCUGCCUGCCAUGUGAGGACACAGUCAUAAGGAAGCUGUUUACAAUCCAGGAAGACAGCCCUCAAUCAGAAAUUGACCAUCUUGCAUCUUGAUCUUAGACUUCUAGCUUCCAGAAUUGUGAGAAGUAAAUUUUCACUCUUUAAGCCACCUGUCUACAGUAUUUUGUUAUGGUAUCCUGAGCAUGUUUAAAGGGAUGAAUUGAAAUUUUCAAGAGAACUAGAAAUAAUAGAAAAGAUAUAGCAGAUCUGAAGAAAAGAGAAAUUCUAAAAUUUAAACACACAGUAACCAAAAUGAAAAACUCAAGUAGAUUUAAAAGCAGAGUACUUACACCCAAAGAUAAAACUAGUUAAUUAAGAGAUAGGUCAGAAGAAAAUAUUUGGAAAGAAGUAUUGGCGAGGAUGUGGGGAAAAGGGCACACUCUUAUGUUGCUGGUGGGACUGCAAAUUGGUACAACCAAUCUGGAAAGCAGUAUGGAGAUUCCUUGGAAAACUUGGAAUGGAAUCACCAUUUUACCCAGCUAUUCCACUUCUCUGUUUAUACCCGAAAGACUUAAAAACAGCAUACUACAGGGACACAGCCAUAUCAAUGUUUAUAACAGCACAAUUCACAAUAGCUAAACUGUGGCACCAACCCAGAUGCCCUUCAGUAAAUGAAUGGAUAAAGAAAAUGUGAGAUAUAUAUAUAUAUAUAUACACACACACACACACACA